RNAcentral lists this ribosomal RNA (252 nucleotides) under uncultured bacterium. RNAcentral describes it as "partial 16S ribosomal RNA". It matches the Rfam family "Bacterial small subunit ribosomal RNA", at positions 524 to 776 of the family's 1533-position model. The record is from RNAcentral.
UACGGGGGGGCAAGCGUUGUUCGGAAUUACUGGGCGUAAAGGGCGCGUAGGCGGCCUUCUAAGUCGGACGUGAAAUCCCUCGGCUCAACCGAGGAACUGCGUCUGAUACUGGAAGGCUUGAAUCCGGGAGAGGGAUGUGGAAUUCCAGGUGUAGCGGUGAAAUGCGUAGAUAUCUGGAGGAACGCCAGUGGCGAAGGCGGCAUCCUGGACCGGCAUUGACGCUGAGGCGCGAAAGCUAGGGGAGCAAACGGG